AUUGAACGCUGGCGGCAUGCUUUACACAUGCAAGUCGAACGGCAGCGCGGGCUUCGGCCUGGCGGCGAGUGGCGAACGGGUGAGUAAUGCAUCGGAACGUGCCCAGUAGUGGGGGAUAGCCCGGCGAAAGCCGGAUUAAUACCGCAUACGACCUGAGGGUGAAAGCGGGGGACCGAAAGGCCUCGCUCUAUUGGAGCGGCCGAUGUCGGAUUAGCUAGUUGGUGGGGUAAAGGCUUACCAAGGCGACGAUCCGUAGCUGGUCUGAGAGGACGACCAGCCACACUGGGACUGAGACACGGCCCAGACUCCUACGGGAGGCAGCAGUGGGGAAUUUUGGACAAUGGGGGCAACCCUGAUCCAGCCAUGCCGCGUGCGGGAAGAAGGCCUUCGGGUUGUAAACCGCUUUUGUUCGGGAAGAAAUCCUCUGGGCUAAUACCCCGGGGGGAUGACGGUACCGGAAGAAUAAGCACCGGCUAACUACGUG
Molecule: ribosomal RNA, 484 nt
Filed under: uncultured bacterium
Lineage: Bacteria
Description: partial 16S ribosomal RNA
Rfam family: Bacterial small subunit ribosomal RNA
Source: RNAcentral